This is a long non-coding RNA of Equus asinus (donkey), 2951 nucleotides long. Lineage: Eukaryota; Metazoa; Chordata; Mammalia; Perissodactyla; Equidae. The record is from Ensembl.
CCCCUUGGUGAUGUAUGACUCUGCUCAGCUGAGGGGAGCAGGGGGCGGGGCCUGUCCCGCCCCUCUGAGGGGAGAGCAGACACCAAACCUUCUCUCCAUGGGGGAGAACAUCUGCCUUGGACUCCAAAAAUAGGCUUCUCAGAAUCCCGUCAAGGCUGAAAGAGAUGCCCUGCCAAUCCAACCUCCAACAACCUCCCUUUAGUCCAUGCUGAGCUCAGCUGCAACUUCACAUCCCAGCUCCAACCCAGCCUCAGCCCCGUGCCCCAGGCCAGCCUCAGCCCCAGCCUCCUCCCAGGCUCUGCCCCUCCACCCCAUGCCUGCCAGCCUCUGUCCUCUCUGCCUCAGUGCUAAGGACCAUUCCCACACUUUAUCCCCCAGCAUACUAUGGGAUUAAUAGGACUAAAUUGGGGGGGGAGAGGGGACACACAAAGAAGGGAAUGGAGGGAGGGAGGGAGGAGCGUCCAGAAACACUCCUUGGCCAAACCGUUCAAAGCUGUGUAUUUGAGAGAGGCCCGGAGAAUAAGUGAGGGGCAUGCUGUCCCUUUCACACCCACAGCCCUCCCUAUGCCAGCAUCUGAGACCCCACUCCCAUCUAAUGCCAGGUCUGGGAAUUUAACUUCCCUCCACAUACGCCCAGGGCCACCAAGGGGGUGGUGGGGUGGACUAGCCCUAGAGAAAAAAAUUGGAUGGGCCUCCCAACGAAGGAGGACCCAUUAAAAAAUCUUCCCGUAAUAUUUGCAAUGUUUUGUGACAGAGUCAGGCCACAGGUUCCCUUUUAAACAGCUGUGUCAAGUCAUUUGUACUGGCAUGCCCCAUCUCAGAGGCCCUGGCCCACAACCCCCUUUGGGAACCUUUAGGGAAAGAUUCUCUUGAGAUAAGCCCCUUUGCUCCAUCCACCGUAGCAUCUUGGUGAGGAAGAGGAGGCAGGCCAGAUAACCACCUUCAAGAACCACAGGUGUGCCCAAGAGUGUACCCCAUCUCUCUGUAUCUUGGCUUGCCCUCUGUGUACCCUUGUCUGUGUGUACCUUUCAUUGCGUGUGUGUGUGUGUGCACGUACAUGCCUUGCCUCUUCACUGAAUGGUAGGUUUUAGUUAAUUCAAUUGAUUACAAUAAUUAACACAACCCUCAAAAAAGUCCUUUUUCCCUUUGAAAGUGACACUUUGGCCCUGUACCAGAGAGGGGCGGGGUGGCUCCAGUCUGAGCUGGAAGAAGCUGACAUAGAAGUCACCCCUCGCACGAGAGGAGGGCAUAGGUCAUAGGACAAGGCAGAGUAGGAGGCAUUGACCUCUACAAGCACACACGUGUCCACCCGUGCCCGUGAAACACACACAUGUAGACAUGCAUGCAUGUACAUUUUGGCCUUAGCCUGGUGUUGUCCCCACAAUGGAAGAAACUGGCUUCAUCCUUGAUUGGAAAGAACCCAUAAAGGGGGCUUCUUCUCUCACUGUCCCUCCUCUGAGAGCCUCCUUGCUCACACUCACACAGACAUACACUCUCACACACAAUAUACACACACUCACACAUGGUGGAGCGAAGAGAAAGGGAAGAGAAAGGCUAAAAGAAGGGACGCAGUUCACUGAUGCUGAUGAGGCAGCCAAAACAGACCCCAGCUCCUCCGCUAAUGAAGGCCGCUGCCUGCCUGCGCAGUGAGGGAGCCCGAGCGCAUAAUAAACUGGCGCAUCCUCUGGGAGGAGCUGCUGCCCAAGUCACAGCUCCGGGGACCUGGCAGGGGGUCUGCAUCAAGCCCACCAGGCUCCAGCUGCAGCAGAGACUCCCACCCCAGGGACCAUCCCUUCACUGGAGAACUAACUGGGCAGCUUCGCGAGCCACGGCAGCCUCCACUACCACCCCAUGAAGCCGAGGGCUCAGGACUGCACCACUGCCCAGCACCAAGCAAUCUGCUUCCCUCACGUGAGAGAGGAGACAGCCGUUGCCAUUACGAGGGCCAUCAAGUGAAGCAGACAAGACUGGACAGGGAGAACCAGGUAGAAACUUUGGUUAGGAGAGAGAGAGAUGAGGCAGCACUUUCUCACGUGAUGAUGACAGAUCCAGGAAUAAGGAACAAGGAGACUCCGUACAGGCAGUCUGAAGAAGCAGGAGAGAUGUUUUUCCUCCGACCAGAGCAGUUUAGGAAAGGAGAACAAGCAGAAGCACGACCUGGGCAUCCACUUGAGCCUCCUACCUCUAAGAGGGAGACCUGGGGCAGGCACCCCUGCGCCUGGUGGUAGUUGUGUAGCUUCUCUCUGACCCUUCCCUGGACUUCCUGCUGAGACAGACCCAUGCAGCUUGGGGGGAGCCCUGCCAGCAGGGAGGCCCCGUGACCUGGCUGGCGAGAGAGUGCACCCUCCUGACCCUAGCAGGCAGCUGCACAAGCCCAAGAAACCCGAAGUCGGUAUUUCAGGUCUGCCCCCAAUUCCUCCACGCACCUGGGGCUCUGCGCCAUGACUCCCACCCAAGCUUUGGCCCGCCCUUCCCCAACACCCUGUGCAUGAGGCUCUGUGAACUGCCGUGCCGGGAGAGCUGGAGGCAGGGAGGCCAGCACCAUACACCCACUUGCCUCACUCCUUCAAGUCCCAACAGGCCCUGCCCUCACCGGCCUCCACAGGUAGGCAGAGCGAGUCUGCGUCUGCUGGCUGCCUUCCCUGGAGGGUGCGCAGCUCUAAUUGCUCACUGUCCCACAGCCAGCAGCACGGGGAGAGACAGCAGGCUGUAAACACUCACAACUGCAUGUGGGGAGCCUCGGCCAUCUCCACCUUCUGCACAUCCUGUGACUCCAAGACAUGCUUCCUCCGUGGUUCUCACUAGAAACGUGAGGGGAAAGCCCUUUCGUGCAGUCCUUGUCUUGGGGCCACACUAAUCUCAAGCUGGGGGAGUGGGGAUGAGGAAAAUCUUUUUUUCACAAGAGCUGUCCCCUAUGCUUUAAAUCCAAUAAACAAAUACCUACUAAGUGC